RNAcentral lists this ribosomal RNA (110 nucleotides) under Enterobacter cloacae. The record is from RNAcentral. RNAcentral also lists the same sequence under 2 other names. Lineage: Bacteria; Pseudomonadati; Pseudomonadota; Gammaproteobacteria; Enterobacterales; Enterobacteriaceae.
CCUGGCGGCUGUAGCGCGGUGGUCCCACCUGACCCCAUGCCGAACUCAGAAGUGAAACGCCGUAGCGCCGAUGGUAGUGUGGGGUCUCCCCAUGUGAGAGUAGGGAACUG